AAAAGAAAGAAAGGUGAGAGAGGAGAAUGGGAAAGUUAUCAGGCCUACUUUUGGAUUUGUAGUUUACAAAAAGAAGAAAAGUGAGAGACCAAAGGAGUAAAUCAUUUUCUCAUUUACUUUCAACAAGCAACCAACAGAGAGACUGUAGCAUGAUGAUGAUGAUGAUGAUGAUGAUAAAUAUAAAAGGUGAAGGGGAUAAUAUGUAUUUAACAUAAGUAGGAGCAUGAGUAGGAGAGGAUCAGAUUUGAUGGGGAAAAGGUGACAAAUGAUGUUCUGGCAUUUCCAACUGUGACAGCUGAAAUGAUUUGUCGUCUCUUUUUGUUUCAGCCCAACUCCCUCCACAAUCUCCUGACACAGCUCUGAGCUCUCUGAGAGACUCAAUCCAGAGACCUGAUUAACACACACAUCCUGCACUGCUCCUGAAAACAG
Long non-coding RNA from Etheostoma cragini (Arkansas darter), 429 nucleotides. RefSeq lists it as uncharacterized. The record is from RefSeq and is a predicted model, not a curated record. The transcript has 3 exons. NCBI's taxonomy places the organism in Eukaryota, Metazoa, Chordata, Actinopteri, Perciformes, Percidae.